Molecule: ribosomal RNA, 502 nt
Filed under: uncultured Glomeromycotina
Lineage: Eukaryota; Fungi; Glomeromycota
Description: partial small subunit ribosomal RNA
Rfam family: Eukaryotic small subunit ribosomal RNA
Source: RNAcentral
CCAAUAGCGUAUAUUAAAGUUGUUGCAGUUAAAAAGCUCGUAGUUGAACUUCGGGGUCUACCCAUUGGUCAGGCUUAAUUGUCUGCACUGGUGAGAUGGAUCUCUACCUUCUGAGGAACUUUCAUGCCAUUUAUUUGGUGUGAUGGGAAAUCAGGACUGUUACUUUGAAAAAAUUAGAGUGUUUAAAGCAGACUAUCGUCUGAAUACAUUAGCAUGGAAUAAUGAAAUAGGACGGACUGAUUCUAUUUCGUUGGUUUCUAGGAUCACCGUAAUGAUUAAUAGGGAUAGUUGGGGGCAUUAGUAUUCAAUUGUCAGAGGUGGAAUUCUUGGAUUUAUUGAAGACUAACUACUGCGAAAGCAUUUGCCAAGGAUGUUUUCAUUAAGCAAGAACGAAAGUUAGGGGAUCGAAGACGAUCAGAUACCGUCGUAGUCUUAACCAUAAACUAUGCCGACUAGGGAUCGGACGAAGUUAAUUUUAUAAUGACGCGUUCGGCACCUUACG